Molecule: transfer RNA, 72 nt
Filed under: Heterocephalus glaber (naked mole-rat)
Lineage: Eukaryota; Metazoa; Chordata; Mammalia; Rodentia; Bathyergidae
Rfam family: tRNA
About the family: Transfer RNA (tRNA) molecules are approximately 80 nucleotides in length. Their secondary structure includes four short double-helical elements and three loops (D, anti-codon, and T loops).
Source: Rfam by way of RNAcentral
GGUGGUGUAGCUCAGUUGUGGAGUUCAUGCCUUGCAUACACAGGAGUCUGGGUUCAAUCCUUGGCACCACUA